Molecule: ribosomal RNA, 1271 nt
Filed under: Bacillus thuringiensis
Lineage: Bacteria; Bacillati; Bacillota; Bacilli; Caryophanales; Bacillaceae
Description: partial 23S ribosomal RNA
Rfam family: Bacterial large subunit ribosomal RNA
Source: RNAcentral
GUUUGGUUAAGUUAGAAAGGGCGCACGGUGGAUGCCUUGACACUAGGAGUCGAUGAAGGACGGGACUAACGCCGAUAUGCUUCGGGGAGCUGUAAGUAAGCUUUGAUCCGAAGAUUUCCGAAUGGGGAAACCCACCAUACGUAAUGGUAUGGUAUCCUUAUCUGAAUACAUAGGGUAAGGAAGACAGACCCAGGGAACUGAAACAUCUAAGUACCUGGAGGAAGAGAAAGCAAAUGCGAUUUCCUGAGUAGCGGCGAGCGAAACGGAACAUAGCCCAAACCAAGAGGCUUGCCUCUUGGGGUUGUAGGACAUUCUAUACGGAGUUACAAAGGAACGAGGUAGACGAAGCGACCUGGAAAGGUCCGUCGUAGAGGGUAACAACCCCGUAGUCGAAACUUCGUUCUCUCUUGAAUGUAUCCUGAGUACGGCGGAACACGUGAAAUUCCGUCGGAAUCUGGGAGGACCAUCUCCCAAGGCUAAAUACUCCCUAGUGAUCGAUAGUGAACCAGUACCGUGAGGGAAAGGUGAAAAGCACCCCGGAAGGGGAGUGAAAGAGAUCCUGAAACCGUGUGCCUACAAAUAGUCAGAGCCCGUUAACGGGUGAUGGCGUGCCUUUUGUAGAAUGAACCGGCGAGUUACGAUCCCGUGCGAGGUUAAGCUGAAGAGGCGGAGCCGCAGCGAAAGCGAGUCUGAAUAGGGCGUUUAGUACGUGGUCGUAGACCCGAAACCAGGUGAUCUACCCAUGUCCAGGGUGAAGUUCAGGUAACACUGAAUGGAGGCCCGAACCCACGCACGUUGAAAAGUGCGGGGAUGAGGUGUGGGUAGCGGAGAAAUUCCAAUCGAACCUGGAGAUAGCUGGUUCUCCCCGAAAUAGCUUUAGGGCUAGCCUUAAGUGUAAGAGUCUUGGAGGUAGAGCACUGAUUGGACUAGGGGUCCUCAUCGGAUUACCGAAUUCAGUCAAACUCCGAAUGCCAAUGACUUAUCCUUAGGAGUCAGACUGCGAGUGAUAAGAUCCGUAGUCAAAAGGGAAACAGCCCAGACCGCCAGCUAAGGUCCCAAAGUGUGUAUUAAGUGGAAAAGGAUGUGGAGUUGCUUAGACAACUAGGAUGUUGGCUUAGAAGCAGCCACCAUUUAAAGAGUGCGUAAUAGCUCACUAGUCGAGUGACUCUGCGCCGAAAAUGUACCGGGGCUAAAUACACCACCGAAGCUGCGGAUUGAUACCGAAUGGUAUCAGUGGUAGGGGAGCGUUCUAAGGACAGUGAAGUCAGACC